AUGCCGGAGGAGAUCAACGAUACUGUCAUAGUGCUUAUCCCAAAAAGCAAUAACCCCGAGUACCUUAAGGACUACAGGCCCAUAAGCCUAUGUAAUGUGAUAUACAAGGUAAUAUCAAAGUGCAUGGUCAAUCGCUUGCGGCCUUUUUUGGACAAGAUUAUCUCAGAGACUCAAAGCGCUUUUAUCACAGGGCGUUUGAUAACAGACAACGCCACUAUUGCCUUUGAAUGUUUUCACAAAAUCCAUCGCAGCAAAGACCCUGCCAAUACGCAUUGCGCCCUCAAAUUGGAUUUGGCAAAAGCUUAUGGUAGGGUAGACUGGGGAUUCAUGGAAAAGACUUUGCUGAAGCUCGGUUUUGACCACAAAUGGGUCUGUUGGGUGAUGACUCGUGUGAAAUCCGUGAGGUACUCUGUUAAAUACAAUGGGGAACUGCUUGAGAUGUUUCUUCCGACGAGAGGUCUCCGGCAGGGAGAUCCGUUGAGCCCGUACCCGUUCCUUUUCGUGGCGGAGGGCCUUACUGUUGGGGAACGUAGCAGAAAUUCAAAAUUUUCCUACGUGUCACCAAGAUCUAUCUAUGGAGAGACUAGCAACGAGGGAAGGAGAGUGCAUCUACAUACCCUUGUAGAUCGCUAA
RNAcentral lists this ribosomal RNA (633 nucleotides) under Triticum aestivum (bread wheat). RNAcentral describes it as "partial small subunit ribosomal RNA". The record is from RNAcentral. Lineage: Eukaryota; Viridiplantae; Streptophyta; Magnoliopsida; Poales; Poaceae.